GAAUGCACUACGCGGAGGGUGGAAAACGCGCGAGCGGUGUGGCGGAGACCGCGACGUUUCACCGACGAGGGUGAGCCGGGAAGUUCCGAAGGGAAUCGCACCGGUAACUUUACUCCGAGGGAAAAUGUGCGCAGGUACUUUUGCCGGUGCCGUUUCUGCCUCCAGGUCUCUCCAGGGCGGUUCGCGGUCGGUCGUUCGGUCGGCGGGCGCUUCGUUGGGGUUGACGUGACUCCCCAGUCACAACGACCGCGCGCUCGAUAGGCGCGCGCGCCCUGAUGUCCUGCUUUUCGCGGACAGUGCCGGUUGCUCGUGAGUCUGUCUGAUACCACCACCGUUCCCAGUGCCGUCAGUGCUCUCCUAAGAGGCACCCGUGCGUUUUCGCUUUGCUUGACCGGGUUCCGGAGCCGGCAGGAGGUCGCGGGCUCGAAAAUUAAUUAACUAUAGUAACGGUGAAACCUGCUGCCCGCGAGAUCUGGAGCCGCGUGAAGGAACGCGGUACAUCGGUGGAAAGAAUCCAACAUCUCAGAGUGUACGUGACAAGGAGUCGUUUCUGAUCGAACCGCGGUAUAGCCGCCGCAACAAGGAGUGUGUCGAGGACGUACGGUAGUACUUUACGUUGAGAAAGCAACCGCGAAUAACGGAUAAGAUUCAUACCGAAGAAAGGAAAGAACAAAAGCGAACUGUACAUCUUCUGUAAAACAAUCGGACGAGAGAAAAAUAUAAAAAAAGCCGAAAGCGAAACGCUCGUAUUCCAAAAAUAAAGCAACGACUCACGGACAAUCUUCUGAAGUGUAUUCGAAACACCGUUUCGCGGCGAUAAACUUGGCGUUAUUAAAUUUCAAAGUCGAUGAAAUAAAAUUAGAGAAAAAAGAGGAAAGAGAGAGGGAGAGAGAGAGAGAGAGAGAGUGUGUGCGCGUGUGAAGCGAACGGAGAACGAACAACAAAAUCUACAUAACGUCAAAUAAUUUUGAACGAAAAAAAAUAAUAAUCUCGAGCAAGUGCAAAAUAAUUAUAAAAUCAAAAAAGUUACGCGAACGCCUGCAGCAUAAAGAAGAGAGAGAAAUAUAUAAGAAUAAAUAAGUAAUAAUUCAGUUGUCAACCGGAAACGAACGCGUGUAGCUGUCGUUUACAAUUUUAAUGUGUACCCCCCUCCUCCGUUCCCCCCCGUCAAGGAUUACGGUGUUAUAAAUAAAAAUUUAAUUUCUUCCUUCGGCUGAUGCUGUAACGACCUAUGAGAUGUGUCGAUUGAACGAAAAAGCGAGGAAUAACAAUGGAAAUUAAAAUAACAAUAACGAAAUAAAAGAACCGGACAGAUUGACGAACGUUCGCCGUAUGUUUGACGAAAAACAGUGCGAUUAUAUAGAAUUACAGUAUCAGUUUUUUUCCCAAUUAUCGUUACUUUCCUAUUGGCUGAUUUAACAUAAUUGCUUCGUUGGUCGAAGACGCUCACGUUUGCCGUAUAAAUAAAUAACCCCGUAUACUCAGAGAUAAUUUUGUCCGUCGAGAAAAGAAAAUAAAUUUUUGCAAUAAAAGCCAGUUAUCGUGGCGUAAGUUCUCAGUUUUUAAGACACGUUUGGCUAUUGGCGCCAGGAAUCUUUCGUAACUAAUUAAUAUGCUCAUCUCAUGACUGUGACUCGUAGCUUAUAGCUUAAGAUACUUUAUUAAAGUUGAUAUUAUAACCAUGUAUUCUAAUAGUGAAAUUAGUGAGAAAAUUAUAAGGAUAACGAAGUGAGGCGAAUAAAAUUCACAAGAUUAACGCAGAACUGGUGAAAUAUAAAAAAACAAAACAAAAACAAAAAAAAUAACAGCGCUAAUCACGAGGGUAAAUAAUCGUUAGGUGUUCAGUAGUGUUGAAAACAAAUUCGUAAUUGAUUGAUAAAAAUGAGUAAAUAAAUUGAGAAUUUUUAUAAAUCAAUAUUCAAAGUGCAUUACUGUUUAGAGAGAGAGA
Molecule: long non-coding RNA, 1948 nt
Organism: Athalia rosae (coleseed sawfly)
Lineage: Eukaryota; Metazoa; Arthropoda; Insecta; Hymenoptera; Athaliidae
Exons: 2
Source: RefSeq, a predicted model, not a curated record